UGCCUGGAGGACUAGUGGUUAGGCCUCAGCGCUCUCAAUGCCUUGGCCAGGGCUCAAUUCCCAGCCAGGGAA
This is a non-coding RNA of Pangasianodon gigas (Mekong giant catfish), 72 nucleotides long. Lineage: Eukaryota; Metazoa; Chordata; Actinopteri; Siluriformes; Pangasiidae. The record is from the annotation of a GenBank genome assembly.